This 161-nucleotide ribosomal RNA is filed under the name uncultured bacterium. Its description in RNAcentral is "partial 16S ribosomal RNA". The record is from RNAcentral.
GCACGUAGUUAGCCGGUGCUUAUUCUUCAGGUACCGUCAUUAGCAUUCCGUAUUAGGAAACACCGUUUCUUCCCUGACAAAAGAGCUUUACAACCCGAAGGCCUUCUUCACUCACGCGGCAUUGCUGGAUCAGGGUUGCCCCCAUUGUCCAAAAUUCCCCA